This 508-nucleotide ribosomal RNA is filed under the name Corynoptera subtilis. RNAcentral's name for it is "partial 16S ribosomal RNA". The record is from RNAcentral. Lineage: Eukaryota; Metazoa; Arthropoda; Insecta; Diptera; Sciaridae.
GUCUUUUUGAAUUUAAUUUAAAGUCUAACCUGCCCAUUGAAUAAAUUUAAAAGGCUGCGGUAUUUUGACCGUACAAAGGUAGCAUAAUCAUUAGUUUUUUAAUUGGGAACUAGAAUGAAUGGUUGAAUGAAAUAUUAACUUUUUUAAUUAAAAAUAUUGAAUUUUACGUUUUAAUUAAAAGGUUAAAAUGAAUUUAAAAGACGAGAAGACCCUAUAGAGUUUUAUAAUUUAUUUUUAUAUUUUUUAACAAGAUUAAUAAAAAUUAAAUAAAAAGAAUUAUUUUGUUGGGGUGAUAAUAAAAUUUAAUAAACUUUUAUUAAUUUUUACAUUAAUAAAUGAAUAAUUGAUCCAUUAUUAAUGAUUAAAAAUUUAAAUUACCUUAGGGAUAACAGCGUAAUUUUUUUUUAAGUUCAUAUUAAUAAAAAAUUUUGCGACCUCGAUGUUGGAUUAAGAUUUAAUUUUAGGUGCAGCAGUUUAAAAUUUAAGUCUGUUCGACUUUUAAAUUCUU